RNAcentral lists this long non-coding RNA (269 nucleotides) under Mytilus galloprovincialis (Mediterranean mussel). The record is from RNAcentral. Lineage: Eukaryota; Metazoa; Mollusca; Bivalvia; Mytilida; Mytilidae.
GAAAAUUUUAGCUUUUUUAAUCCUUAAUUAAAUCCUUAAAGUUGACAGAAAUGAACCAAGCUACCAGUUUUUGAGUGCCCGCAAAAGAAAUUUCUUACACACCGAUAAAAUGGAUAAAAAAUUUUCCUAUAAAAUAUGUUCUGGCCCAUCCACUAAAUAUUUUAAAAAAAGUUCUCGCCCAUCCAAAUAUUUCCACAAAAAAAGUGCUUGCCCCGCCCCAUUUUGCACCGGCCCAUCCAUCUGAUAAAUAUUGAACGGUCCCUUAUAUG